CUCGGUUAUGGAGACAUGUACCCCAAAACAUGGUCAGGAAUGCUGGUAGGUGCCCUUUGUGCAUUGGCUGGGGUGCUCACAAUUGCCAUGCCUGUACCUGUCAUCGUGAAUAAU
Regulatory RNA element from Lepisosteus oculatus (spotted gar), 114 nucleotides. It matches the Rfam family "Potassium channel RNA editing signal". Rfam says of the family: This family represents a group of sequences related to the human potassium channel Kv1.1 hairpin element which directs the efficient modification of an adenosine to inosine by an adenosine deaminase acting on RNA (ADAR). NCBI's taxonomy places the organism in Eukaryota, Metazoa, Chordata, Actinopteri, Semionotiformes, Lepisosteidae. The record is from Rfam.